Molecule: ribosomal RNA, 254 nt
Filed under: uncultured prokaryote
Description: partial 16S ribosomal RNA
Rfam family: Bacterial small subunit ribosomal RNA
Source: RNAcentral
UACAGAGGUCUCAAGCGUUGUUCGGAUUCAUUGGGCGUAAAGGGUGCGUAGGCGGCCACGACAAGUCACUCGUGAAAUCUCCGGGCUUAACUCGGAACGGUCAAGUGAUACUGUCGGGCUAGAGUACAGAAGGGGCAACUGGAAUUCUCGGUGUAGCGGUGAAAUGCGUAGAUAUCAAGAGGAACACCUGAGGUGAAGACGGGUUGCUGGGCUGACACUGACGCUGAGGCGCGAAAGCCAGGGGAGCAAACGGG